CCGUUAAUUAUGCUGCCCAAUAUCUCAAGUAAUUCAGCAAUCCCAUUAUGCCUCUCGGUCUCAAAUAUGAAACGGUAGAAGAUAUUGUUUAUAGCUUUCCUAAUAAAUGGCCGAUGUACCAUAAACUUCCCAUAAAUGCGAUGUAGUAUUGUCUUCAAAUACUCUCUCUCCCUUUGGUCCUCAGAAUCAAACAAAUCUAGCAAUUUCAACACAAAUGAAUGGUCAAUGUACCUCUUUGCAAGCUUGGCAUCGGUCUCUGUUGAAGCCACAAAUCUGAGAAGAAACUCGUACACAAUUUGAAGAUGAGGCCACGCUGGCUCCAUGGUCGGUUCUUCUUCUUCUGGGUCAUACGUUUCUAGAAUCUUGUUAUCAUGAUUUGAA
Molecule: unclassified non-coding RNA, 381 nt
Filed under: Hevea brasiliensis (rubber tree)
Lineage: Eukaryota; Viridiplantae; Streptophyta; Magnoliopsida; Malpighiales; Euphorbiaceae
Source: RNAcentral